GUAAUUUUCAAUGAUGCUGUAUGUACUGAUCAACCACAACAUUAAAACCACUGUGAAGUAAAUAACAUUGAUUAGAUUGUUACAAUGGCACCAUUUAAGGGGGGAAGAGGGGAUAUUUUAGGCAGCAAAUCAACAGUCAGUUACUGAAUUCCAUGUGUUGGAAGCAGUAAAAAUGUGAAAGAUCUGAGUGACUUUGAAGGGCCAAAUAGUGAUAGCUAGACGACUGGGUCAGAGCAUCCAAGUAAGCAGUGGUUAGUAUCUACCAAAAGCGGUGCAAGG
Non-coding RNA from Pelobates cultripes (western spadefoot toad), 279 nucleotides. The record is from the annotation of a GenBank genome assembly. NCBI's taxonomy places the organism in Eukaryota, Metazoa, Chordata, Amphibia, Anura, Pelobatidae.